UUUCUUUUCAGUUAUUCUUCUUCUUCACUUCAUAGUACUUCUGCUAUUAAGCAUUCGUCUGUGCUAAUUGUGUGAUACAAUUAGUAACACAGAGAAACAAGUAAGUCAUAUUAAGGAGUUCAUCGUCUUAAUUGCGGUGAAUCAUUCAACUACUUUAGCAAUGACGGUUUGACAUGGAAGAUUCGCAGCUAUUACCGCAGAUACUACGGGUGAAAAGGCCCACCUAUUUUCAAUGAUUUAGCAACAGAACUAGCAGAUCAAGCAACGGGUCAUUUUGUGUGCAGAUGAACUCAGAAUACAAAAGAGAGGACCUCGAGGAGAAAAGGUGUUUUUACUGUCAAACAAGACGGUGAGGACCUCGUUGUUAUUAAAAACCAUUUCGAUAGUUAGAUAUUCAAUAACGCCGACCAGCAGUUCCACUUACGUGGAGAACAAGAGACCUCGUCGGGUUUUUUUUUCCAUUGUCAUACGACGGAUUUCAUUCUGAAUGCUGAAGCUGCUUAACUUCUGUUCGGUUGGUAGGGUUAGUGAAACUCGUACGCAUUUUUGCCAUUAACUAUAAUUUAUAAGGAUAUAGUUAGCUCCCGUUUUCCAAUAUUGUAUUAAUGAUAAUAAUAGUAAUAUUUAUAUUACCAAAAACUACACAUUAAUCAAGAAAGUUGUGUAUCGAAGUUGUGAACUGUGGUGCUCAAGAUCAAGCUUUUUAAAUAAAGUUCACGAAUAUUCUGUUCCCCGAAGUAUUCAAAGCUUGUCCCGUAGCUGCUACAUGUACUACCCGGAUAUUUUCGGCAUUUAGAUCAAACUCCUGUGUCUCAAAGUCAGUUUUCUCUCAUAGUAAAUGGUACUUCCAUUAUUGAGUAAUAAAAUAAGUAGAAUUAGAAUUAUCUUGUUUGCUAGCUCUCUAACUUUUUAGCGUUAAUUCAAACGAAAUAGGCCCUCGCACAUAGCGUAGUCUACUUUUAAAAAUGUUAUUUUCCUUUGCUUCGAUAUGCGAAACAUAGUGGCUGUGGCAUGUGGUCUUCGUACGUCUAUUUAUAGGGUACUCAAUUUUUGCCUUCAUCACUUUGUGUACUUCUAUUAUAUAUCAUGUAUCUGUCCUCAACCCUAGUAUGGUAUGGUGCCUUUUUAUGUUUCCUAAUGUCGAUGGCUUUUCUUUUAUCUCUCGUAGAGUAGCUUGGCUCGCGUUUUGUCAUUGGACUAGGUCGAUAACAAUUAUAUUGCUAAACAAACCUUUUUGUUUCAUAUGUACUUGGCGUUCUGCUUAUUUAUUUUCUCGUAUUGUUGCAAACGAUUGAGCUCUCAAUCUUAAUAGUUAAACUAACAAAAUCUAACAAAAAAACUGAUGGAUGUUAAUGCCACAAUGGACGGUUGUACAUGUAACUACAGUUACACUAAUCUAGCAAUUGUCGGUCAAAAGGAGCAGGCUAAUAGUCGGACCGCUGGUUUUUUUUUACCAAGACCAAGCAUAUAAACAUAAAAAGAACGGUCUUCUCCAUGACAUUCGUUGCCCUUGUUACCUGUAGAAUAGCACAGUGACCCCUCAGGUCGACGUUCGAUAAUGGCGCUGUUUAAUAUUCUUUCCUUUUUAUUUGAUUUUUUUCAUAUCGGUUAUCAAAAUCGGAUAAAUCUUGGUUCCUUUGACAGUCAUUUGUACUGAGAUCUUCAAGUUAGAGGACCCAUUUUGUUAAGUUUUGUUAAAUUUUGGUUGAAGUUAUAUAUAUAUUUACCAACUAAUAAUAAAUGGCAUUCAGUGUUUCUAUGCUUGAUUGCAUGAGAGCUGAUGUAUUCGCGUAUUAUACCCUGCAAUACUCUAUCGAAAUCUGUACAAAUAUCUUUCUUACCGGGCGUACAGACUUUCGGUAUUCGUCCAUUUCCUUUAAAAGUAAAAGCGACCCCUUUAAUUAAAAUGUUCUCUGUUUCGCUCAUAAACAUAGACCGCGCAUAAACAUAGAUGUCAUACACUCUAAGCAACACAAUUAUAGAAUUGUUCCCUUUUCUGUUAUAUAUAUUAUUUCUAUUAUUAUUACUAUUAUUUCCGGUUCUUUUAUAGCUUCCUUCUCCCGUUCUAAAUUGGAUCUUAGCAACGGUCUAUUGACUGACAUGACGUUGUGCUUCAAUACUCUAUUUGUCUACGGUUGCCGUAGUCUAAACGACGUGCGUCGAUUAAAGCAGGCAAAAUCAUUGUUCACUGAUUGAAGUGAAAAGCAAAUUAUGUCAUACUUUGACCCGUAUUUAACAGUACAUCUACGUGAGCGUUUCAGCACUGGAUAUAAUGCACUACGAGCUUGCAUGCUAAGACCGAAUGGCAACUAUGAAAACACCCUGUUUUUGAACUUCGUCGGCCAAUCACAUUUAGGAACCGGACAAAAUUAAAUAAACUAAUUGGCUUUUUAUUCCUCCCAAAAGCAUGAAGUGCGACCAGUUUUUACAAAAAAGUAUAUCCACGUGCACACUGCACAUCGACUGUGGCCUAUGAAAACUGCAAGGGAACAUUACCCUGGCGUUAGAAAUCAUCUAGGACUAUUGUAAUAGAUGCCGUUAGGAUAAGAAAGGUGAAAAAGCGAUCGGCGAUUCGCUUGUAAUAGAGCUACAUUAUUCUACAAAAGACUGAGACAAAUUUUCUAACUGGGUCGUCUGGCUUCAAAGUGGAAGUCCGAACAGAAUUGCCGAGCAAAACGUUGACCCAAAUGAGUAUCGGCUGUAUGGAGUGGUCACAUCGGAGUAAAGGACUAAUAUAGCCUCCUUACAGGAUGCAGGAUAACGAGAAUGUGUCUUUUAGUUGUACUUACGUACUCAAUAGCUGACGACUAUCGCUUUUUUUUUUAACACCAAUAGCAUACAACAUGUGUGUUUAAAUAUUUCGUUCAUAUCUGGAGGUAUUUCUCCCUAUGCGGUAACAGUAGGGGCAAGCUGAUAACUGCGAUGUUAGUGCCCAUCGGAUGAAGCAUCAGCCUUCUCUUUAAUUUUACAACGUUCUUUUUUUUAGAUUGAAAUAAAACUUCGACAGUGGCCACUUGUUGGGUCACAUUAAAAAGUAAUAAUAAGUUUACAGUAGCCAUGGGCGGUGUGUAAAUGGGCGACGUUCUGUGAAAGGUCCAAGAAUUCAACAAGUAGCCUUUGUGGGGGCGGUGCAUAGAUUCAGUAAAUACCCUCUCGUAUCGAACGUAUAAGGCAGAGAUAGCAGAAUGUAAAAAACGACAGAGGGUACUACCAUUGCUGUAAUAGUCCCUUCAUAUGCUAACUAAAAUUAGAUCGACAUUUACAUAUCCAUUGAACAGCACAGAACGAAAUGUGGCCGAAUGGGUUGUUUCGCUUAUUCAUUUAUAUAUACAUGUAUAUAUAGGGAGAGAAAGAAAGAACCAGUGCAAAUAUUUACUCCUUACUGAAUUGACUAGGAGAACUGCUGUAUUUGGCUACAGUGUAAAGUAUAUAUUACACAUUAACUAAUUUUCGACUACAUACGGAAAAAGUAAAUUAGUUGGUCGCCUGCUUCACUUUUUGUCAAAAAUCUGUCUAAAGAGACUUUGUUACUCAGAAUCUGAUGCAUCCAAAGCCAAACUUGUGUUAUAAGUUUACCUGGAUCCUUUACUGCUGUCUUGCUGCGUUAGAAAGGCCGAGUAGCUACGGUGCUUGCGGUACUAUCUUAUAAGGAUCACAAUGAGACACAACAUGAAUUUAAGAAAAACUUUUUAUGCAGAAGCUGUUAAUGUCAAUGAGUUUUGCAAGUGGGUCAUAUACCAGAUACAAAAAUCACUGAG
Molecule: long non-coding RNA, 3758 nt
Filed under: Varroa destructor (honeybee mite)
Lineage: Eukaryota; Metazoa; Arthropoda; Arachnida; Mesostigmata; Varroidae
Description: uncharacterized LOC111248194
Source: RNAcentral